Molecule: non-coding RNA, 24 nt
Filed under: Cricetulus griseus (Chinese hamster)
Lineage: Eukaryota; Metazoa; Chordata; Mammalia; Rodentia; Cricetidae
Source: RNAcentral
GCAAUAAGUGAUUUGUGAACCAGC